This 321-nucleotide ribosomal RNA is filed under the name uncultured Prevotella sp. RNAcentral describes it as "bacterial SSU rRNA". It matches the Rfam family "Bacterial small subunit ribosomal RNA", at positions 28 to 339 of the family's 1533-position model. Lineage: Bacteria; Pseudomonadati; Bacteroidota; Bacteroidia; Bacteroidales; Prevotellaceae. The record is from RNAcentral.
GAUGAACGCUAGCUACAGGCUUAACACAUGCAAGUCGAGGGGCAGCAUGACGAGUGCUUGCACUUGUUGAUGGCGACCGGCGCACGGGUGAGUAACGCGUAUCCAACCUUCCCCUGAGUAGAGGAUACGCCCGGCGAAAGUCGGAUUAAUACUCUAUGUUGUCAGACGAAGACAUCUGAAUCUGACCAAAGAUUAAUCGCUCAGGGAUGGGGAUGCGUCUGAUUAGGUUGUUGGCGGGGUAACGGCCCACCAAGCCAUCGAUCAGUAGGGGUUCUGAGAGGAAGGUCCCCCACAUUGGUACUGAGACACGGACCAAACUCC